This 369-nucleotide transfer-messenger RNA is filed under the name Demequina sp. It matches the Rfam family "transfer-messenger RNA". From Rfam's summary of the family: Bacterial tmRNA, also known as 10Sa RNA or SsrA, is named for its dual tRNA and mRNA-like properties. The record is from RNAcentral. Lineage: Bacteria; Bacillati; Actinomycetota; Actinomycetes; Micrococcales; Demequinaceae.
GGGGAUGAUCGGUUUCGACGUGUGUUUGUAUCGCAGGGGAAGCGGGCCAAGGAUGCUGGGUUAUCUUGUGAACGCCCCCAGCAAACUAUAGGUGCCGAUUCUAAGCGCACCGACUUCGCCCUCGCUGCUUAAGCGAGCGCAAUGAAGUCCGUCAGCCUAGGUAUGUUCUCGACCUAGUUCCUGGCGUCAUCUAGAGAACUUGCUGGUUGCUGGUGUCACAGCGGCAACCGGGACUUGCACUGUGACUGGGCCCAUCUCACUUGCUCGCCUGAUGCGGGUGGGGGGCCGAGAAAUAGCUCUCAGGCUGCGCCCGGAGAAGCCCUGCUUUUGGACAUGCGGACGCGGGUUCGAUUCCCGCCAUCUCCACUC